Molecule: long non-coding RNA, 333 nt
Filed under: Gallus gallus (chicken)
Lineage: Eukaryota; Metazoa; Chordata; Aves; Galliformes; Phasianidae
Source: RNAcentral
CCAGUUCUUGGUUAUGCUAUCUUUGAUGUCCUUCUGGCACCAAGAGCCUCCUGCCUGCAGCUGACACAUGGGUUCAAGCUUGGCUUUGUGCCUUGUCCUACUUGGGGACAGUCUGGGGACACGGAGAAGAAAAGGCGGCCUCUGGAAGGACCUAGCACCCUGCAGCCAGUUGCUGAGAAGCCACUCCUCUUCCUAAGGCAGCCUGAUGGCACCUACUGCAGCCCAAAAAGGCAGCAAGAGACCGUGAGCAUGCAGGGUAAUCAGGCCAAAAUGACCUGGACCAUGCAAAUGGUCUGAUAAAAACUCUCCUUGCAAACUUUGCUUCUCUGUGCU